AAAUAGGAUUCUUUUGAAUCCAUUAUAAUAUUCUUCACAUCUCUUU
Molecule: non-coding RNA, 46 nt
Organism: Citrus sinensis (sweet orange)
Lineage: Eukaryota; Viridiplantae; Streptophyta; Magnoliopsida; Sapindales; Rutaceae
Source: Rfam